CUUUUUUCACACUAUAAAAUGAUCAAACAAUUUCUAUUUCUAGAGUCAUAAAACAGAAAAUAUGGCUAAAGUUUAUAUGUUUAUUUAUGCUAUGAUUAUUGUAUUUUCCAUAUUUAUUUCUACAACAAACUGCGGUAAGUAAUUUUUAUCAACGCUUCUAAAUUUGGUGAACGAUCGUACUUGAGAGUUUAGUUUGAUACUGGUAUCUCUCUAAAAUAUUCAAUACCAUAUCAUAUUUUCAUAUAAAUUUAUAGGGUUAAAUAACUGAUUGGUCCUUAUNNNNNNNNNNNNNNNNNNNNNNNNNNNNNNNNNNNNNNNNNUCAAAUAUUUUUCGUACAAUUUUUAGUCCUUAAUUGCAUUUAACUCAACUCAUGCAUGUUAUUCAAAAUUUUGAAUUUUUUUCACAAUUAUGUUUAGUAUAUUAUAGAAACCUCUCUUACAAAAUUUAAAUUUUUUAUAACAAAGGAUGAAUUAAAUAUGAAAUUCUAAAUUUUUUGUGUUUAAAAAUUCAUAUUUAACUCAUCUUAUGUUAAAAGAUUCCAAAUUUUUAUGGAUGAAAUUCUUAUAAUAUUAUCAAUAUUAAUACAAAAUUUAUUUAAAAAUAUGAAAGUAUACAUGAGUUGACAUAAAUUAUAGAUCAAAAGUUAUGACAUAAAAUAUUUAAAAAAUCAAAAUUUGUUCAAAAUUAUUUUUUGUAAGACUAAAAAUGAAAUUUUAAUUAUUUAUGUUAAUAUAAAUUUAAAUUUUAAAUAAAUUUUGUAUAUAGGUAUUCAACAAAAACUAACAUACCUAGUAAUUUACCAUUAAAUUUUCUUUUUAAUUAUCUUAUUCAAAAUUGUUUUCUCCCCAUUUUGAUAACAUUCCUUAAUUCUUAUUUGAUAUCACAGGAAUUCUGCGAAGAUAAUGGGGAUUGCCACAAUUAUAUCUGUACCCCACCUGCAGUUCCAAAUUGCGCAUUCAAUCCUGACGAAAAUAUAAAGUUGAUUGUUAGACGUGGGAUUUGUGAAUGUAUACCUUAUAAUUAGUGGUUUAUGAAUGUGUGAAUAAAUCCUAAAAUAAUUUCUUUAAGAAUAAUGUUUAAAAGGGCGUGGUGGUGAGGUGUUGACGUGGAGGUGUUGGUUUNNNNNNNNNNUUUGGCGCUGUGGUCCUCCUUCCAAGUUCAGCGUUAAUCACCACUGAACCAACUAACGAUUGGUGUGGUUAUGGUUUUAUUUCGUUUAAUAAUAUGUUCUAUUUUAUUUUUUUACAAGUUUGAUACUGUAUGGUUUAAUUUGUUUAAUAUGAAAGUAUAUCUUGAGAAGAAUGAAGUUUCUCAUCAAUUUAAAGCAAAUGAAUCUUUAGAAAAUUCCCAUUAAAAAAAACUUCCUAAUCAACUAUGGAAAAAAUUGUUACAAAUUUUUUUUUUAAGUUGCUAGUAC
This 1418-nucleotide long non-coding RNA is filed under the name Trifolium pratense (red clover). Its description in RNAcentral is "long non-coding RNA (TPRA_LNC001366)". The record is from RNAcentral. Lineage: Eukaryota; Viridiplantae; Streptophyta; Magnoliopsida; Fabales; Fabaceae.